GGCUGGUCCAAAGGUAGUGAGUUGUCUCACUUGAUUGUUCACAGUCAGUUACAGAUUGAACUCCUUGUUCUACUACUUUCCCCCUUCUCAGUACUGCACUUGACUAGUCUUAA
This 113-nucleotide Y RNA is filed under the name Propithecus coquereli (Coquerel's sifaka). Its description in RNAcentral is "Y RNA (ENSPCOG00000007056.1)". It matches the Rfam family "Y RNA". From Rfam's summary of the family: Y RNAs are components of the Ro ribonucleoprotein particle (Ro RNP), in association with Ro60 and La proteins. Lineage: Eukaryota; Metazoa; Chordata; Mammalia; Primates; Indriidae. The record is from Rfam by way of RNAcentral.